This 253-nucleotide ribosomal RNA is filed under the name uncultured bacterium. RNAcentral describes it as "partial 16S ribosomal RNA". It matches the Rfam family "Bacterial small subunit ribosomal RNA", at positions 524 to 776 of the family's 1533-position model. The record is from RNAcentral.
UACGUAGGGGGCAAGCGUUGUCCGGAUUUACUGGGCGUAAAGAGUGUGUAGGCGGUUGUGCCAGUCUGUUGUGAAAUCUCCCGGCUUAACUGGGAGGGUGCAGCGGAAACUAGAAUGCUAGAGGGUGGGAGAGGUAAGCGGAAUUCCUGGUGUAGCGGUGAAAUGCGUAGAUAUCAGGAGGAACACCUGUGGUGUAGACAGCUUACUGGACCACUUCUGACGCUGAGACACGAAAGCGUGGGUAGCAAACAGG